GAUGAACGCUGGCGGCGUGCCUAACACAUGCAAGUCGUACGCACUGGCCCAACUGAUUGAUGGUGCUUGCACCUGAUUGACGAUGGGUCACCAGUGAGUGGCGGACGGGUGAGUAACACGUAGGUAACCUGCCCCGGAGCGGGGGAUAACAUUUGGAAACAGAUGCUAAUACCGCAUAACAACAAAAGCCACAUGGCUUUUAUUUGAAAGAUGGCUUUGGCUAUCACUCUGGGAUGGACCUGCGGUGCAUUAGCUAGUUGGUAAGAUAACAGCCUACCAAGGCGACGAUGGGUAGCCGGCCUGAGAGGGUGAACGGCCACAUUGGAACUUAGACACGGUCCAA
Molecule: ribosomal RNA, 343 nt
Filed under: uncultured bacterium
Lineage: Bacteria
Description: bacterial SSU rRNA
Rfam family: Bacterial small subunit ribosomal RNA
Source: RNAcentral